ACGAAUGGCUUCGGCCUUCAACCUCAAAACCCGUGGAAUAUAGCCGUGCUUCGGCGCCAUGGCGUCGUAUUUAUGCAAUAUGUCUGUGUCUGAAUUAAACUUGAAUUA
RNAcentral lists this unclassified non-coding RNA (108 nucleotides) under uncultured Archaeorhizomyces. Its description in RNAcentral is "sequence contains ITS1". Lineage: Eukaryota; Fungi; Ascomycota; Archaeorhizomycetes; Archaeorhizomycetales; Archaeorhizomycetaceae. The record is from RNAcentral.